This 23-nucleotide small nuclear RNA is filed under the name Arabidopsis thaliana (thale cress). Its description in RNAcentral is "snRNA_13981". The record is from RNAcentral. Lineage: Eukaryota; Viridiplantae; Streptophyta; Magnoliopsida; Brassicales; Brassicaceae.
CGACUAAAAUCAUCAACAAUUGU